Hemicordylus capensis (graceful crag lizard) is the source of this 10875-nucleotide long non-coding RNA. RefSeq lists it as uncharacterized. The transcript has 6 exons. The record is from RefSeq and is a predicted model, not a curated record. NCBI's taxonomy places the organism in Eukaryota, Metazoa, Chordata, Lepidosauria, Squamata, Cordylidae.
ACGAGCCUGUUUGCUCGCCGUUGAUUGGCUCCGCCCAGGCAACUGGACAAUUUCUGCUUGUCUCCUCGCAUUUUGAAUUUAGGCGCCUGAAGGGGAGGGAGGGUCGGGGGAGAGGGCCUCAGCGUCGCCUCGGGGCGCGAGCAGGGACGCCGCCAGGGGUGGAAAGCCAAGGCGGGGCACCAGCUCAAGGCUCCUCCGUUGCAAUGUAUUGUGCCUCACCAGACUCAGUGGCUUGUUUUCUUGUUCUCACUCUCGUUUCAGGCUCGCGAAGCAGCCCUGAGAGAACGAGCAAGGAGCCCCACGAGAGUCGCGCAUGCUGGAAGGGGGAUGGUUGUGAGGAUCUCUAGAGCUCCCCACACAGCUCUGAGAGGCGACUUCCCCUGGGAAAUAGGGGCUGCCUCAAAAGAGCACCUUGGUGCUUCAGUGGCAACGUGGUAGCCUGUAAAUGUACCCCCAACCCCGUGAGGAGGCUCCUUUGUCUGGACGGUGGUGGCUCCCUAAAAGAGCCUUUACAUCUUUAAUAGCAAUUCUGUGGCUGGCCUUGGGUGUUUCCAGGGUUUUAUUAUGGAUGGCUUUCCACUCCCAUUAUCUCUAUAUGCUGCUUGGAAUAUUGUUUAAAUACAAACUUAUAAUAUUUGUAAAAAGUAAAAUUAAAAUAGGCUUUAAAUAGGAUAAAAUCAAAUAAGCAGAGAAUAAAAUCUUGAAUAGGAUAAAAUCUAAAAAACAGUGAGCUAGUGCAGUAUAAUAAAGGGAAUAUAGGUCAUUAAUAUAACAGGGAAAGUUAAAAAAGUGUGAAGCAUUCUAAAAGCAGGUUAGGUAUUUUAGAACAACUAGUGUAUUAAAAUAAUAUUCAAAGUAGCAUAUGGAAAUAAUGAAAAAGCGUAUCCAUAAUAAAAGCCUGAAACCCCAGAAAGCAUAGGAUUUAUUCCUCAAAGCAGUCCCUAAGAUGGCUUGGCUGUAGCCCCUCACAGCUAGAUUGGACGCCCUGACACGUAUUGCUCAGAGCAGCCCACAAAGGAGCUAGAGCAUGACUUUCUUAUAUGGACUCCAUGUUUUUGCUUUGAAUAACCCUUAAUUUCGCUAGAGAAUAGCUUUCUCAUUCUAGACUGUAUCUCAUUGUUCUACAUGGCCUCAUUGAGUGGCAGUGUGCCUUUCUCCUAGAUGUUACACUUUUGCUCUAAGAAUCCCCUCAUUUAGCUGGUGGGUGUUGAUGUCCAAACCUUUCUGUGUAACCUUACUUUUCAUGUUCUGAAUAGUGGUGAGAUGGCAUAUCUGACUUGCACAGAUGAUCAGCUUGGUCUGCCCUGCCCGUGGAGGAAGCAAGGAUAGUGGAAAUAAUGCAGCAUCCUUGACCUCUUCAAGCAGCGUGGUGUGCUGACCAGGCUUGGCUGGCUGAAGGGACAUGGUGAUGAGGCAAGGGAACAAGUCCUGAAGGCUUAAGAUUUGAGGUUUGGUUCUCCUUCUUUAUUUAUGACAGUUAUAUACUGCUUUGUCCAAACAGGACUCAGUGUCUCAUUCAUGGCUUGGGCUCCUUGAUGAACAGAGAUGGUCUUCAAUAAACCAAAAGAAAGUAAAGGGUAAAGGUCUGAAAACUUAUGAAGAUUUUUCUUUUGUUUAGGAGGAAAAGGGGAGAAAAAACAAAGCAGUACAGAAGGAGGAAGAAAAACAAGUAGAAAGGAGAAACAAGAGGAAUCAAAAGGGAAGAGGGUGCCUGUCGUUCCUCGCUGCGUGACUUCGCCCUUCAUCUAUCUUGUGAGUGGUGAUGAGUCGGCAUCUCCCAAGUGCCCCGUCCCUAGUCUUCAGCUUGGUGCGCCCUGCCCACGGAGAAAGCCGGGGAGGGUGGAAGCGCGGCAUCCAUGACCUCUUCCAGCAGCGUGGUGUGCCGAGGAGCGGGCCCUGCUGGCUGGCUGAAGAAGGCACACGAAGGCAAUGGGGAGCAAGGACAGAAGAAAGAGGGGCAGAAGGAGGAAGAGAAGCAAGCAGCAAGGCGCCAGAGGAGACGUGAAAAGAAGCAGGAGGAGACCGGCUCUCCAGGAGCUUGGCAGAAGAGACGGGCAGGCUCUGCUCCCACCAGGCGGACGGCUUCAUUUCUCUCUCUCUCUCUCUCGGCCACUGAUCACUCUGGGUGGGGCUGAUGGCCCUGCAGCGUGGCAUCCCUCAUGCUGGACUUCACGUCUUUGCACCAAGGAGCCCUGAAAGGGGUGGGAGUGCGGCCUUCUCGGGCCGCCCUGAAUCUCUCUGCAUCACGGAGUCCCUUGCAAUUGGGUGGGAGGUGGCUUGCUCCUGCUGGACCUGAAGUAUGUGCGCUGAGCCGCCCCUAGAUGGGACUGGGGGUAUUGCUUUCUCGCGCCACUGCUUUAUGUAUGUGCGCUGAGCUGCCCCUGGGUAGGCUGGCCUGGGGGUGUUGCUUCCUCGCGCCGAGCCUUAGAGGUAUGUGCGCUGAGCCACCCCUCGUCGGGGCUGGGGGCGUUAGCUUUCUCACGCCGAGCUUGAUGCCAUGUGCGCUGAGCCUGCCCCUGGCUGGGCUCAGCUUGGGGGUGUUGCUUCCUCGCGCCGAGCCUUCGGGUAUGUGCGCUGAGCCGCCCCGGGCUGGGGCUGGGAGCGUUGCUUUGUGCUGCCAGGCCUUACGUCUCUGCACUGAGCCGCCCCAGUGAGGGCUGGGGGUGUUGCUUCCUCUCGCCACGAGCUUCACGUCUUUGCUCUGAGAAGCCCCUCAUUUGGCCCGGGGGUGGCUCUCUCCAAGCCUUGCUGCCUGACUUUGCCCUUCCCGCUCUGAGUGGUGUUGAGCUGGCCACUCCGCCCUGCCCACGGAGGAAGCUCGGGACGGGAGAAGUGUGGCCUCCCGGACCUCUUCAAGCAGCAGCCUCUGCUGGCUGAAGGCAGACGCCUGACGCUUGGUGUGCUCAUGCUCCUUGGCUUGGGCUCUUGCAUGAGCAGCGCUGGUCCUCCAGAAGGCCUUCUCAAGAGGGAAACGAGUCAAGAGCUGCAGAAGCUGAUCUCUUGCCUUAGGAGGCAAGGGAGAGAAGGGGCCGAAGGAAGAAGUGCCGCAGGCUGGCCAAAGAGAAGCCGCAAGCAAGGAGCAACAGGAGGAGACCUGAACAGGGAAGAAGGAGGCGGAGAAGACUGGCUCUCAAGCAGCUUCACAGAAGCAAGACGGGGGAGAGUCCGCUUCGACCAGCUGGAGCGCCUCCUUGCUGGCUUUCUCUCUGCUCUGUCUCCCGGAGUAGAGGCUGAUUGACCUGGAGCCUGGCUGCUUCAUGAGGCUUAGGAUGUCCCUGCCCUGAGUAGCCUCUGGUUGGGGAGGGGCGUGGACAUAAUAACAGGAUGGACUCGGUGUCCAUACGCUCAGUGGCCCUUUCUUGAACUGGGCUGCGGCUUUCUCGUGCUGGACUUCACAUCUCUGCACUGGGGAGCCAUACAAAGAGUGAGAGCGUGGCCCUCGUAGUGGCCGUACAAGGAGCAGCCCCCAUUUCAGCUGAGGUGUGUCUUUCUCGUGCUGGACUUCAUGUCUUUGCACUGGGCAGCCCUACAACUGUGGGAAGUGUCUGUAUACUGGAGAAGCCCUGAUUUGUCUGCGGAGCGUGUUUCUCGUGCUGGACUUUAUGUCUUUGCACUGGGGAGCCAUAGAAAUAGGGAGAGUGUGGCCCUCAAAGGGGCCGUACAAGGAGCAGCCCCUCUUUCGGCUGAGGUGUGUCUUUCUCGUGCUGGACUUUAUGUCUUUGCACUGGGCAGCCCUACAACUGUGGGAAGUGUCUGUAUACUAGAGAAGCCCUGAUUGGGCUGGGGAGCAGCUUUCUCGUGCUGGACUUUAUGUCUUUGCAGUGGGGAGCCAUAAAAGUAGUGAGAGUGUGGUUCUCGUAGGGGCCGUACAAGGAGCAGCCCCCAUUUCAGCUGAGGUGUGUCCUUCUCGUGCAGGACUUCAGGUCUUUGCACUGGGGAGCCCUACAAUUGUGGGAGCGUGGCCUCUUUUUUUUCCCCUCAUUAUUUUUACAUUUCUUGCCCGCUCUUCUUCUGAGGAGCCCAAAGCGGUCUACCGCGUACUUGAUUUUUUCCUCACAACAACCCUGUGAAGUAGGUUAGGCUGAGAGAGAAGCGACUGGCCCAGAGUCACCCAGCUAGUAUCAUGGCUGAAUGGGGAUUUGGACUCAAGUCUCCCUGGUCCUAGUAAACUAGGGAACCCCUGAUUUGGCUGUGGUGCCGGUUUCACGUGCUGGACUUCACGUCUUUGCACUGGGGAGCCCCACAAUUGUAAGAGUAUGGCCAUCGUAGUGGCUGUAUACUGGGGAGCUCCGAUUUGGCUGAGGAGUGGCUUUCUCCUGCUGGACUUCACGUCCUGGCACUGGGGAGCCCCGAAAAUGCUGAGAGCAUGGCCUUCCCAGGCGAGCCUGAGUGUCUGUAUGCUGCGUGGCUGCUCAUUUCUCUGCAGGGUGCCUGUCGUUCCUCGCUGCGUGACUUCGCCCUUCAUCUAUCUUGUGAGUGGUGAUGAGUUGGCAUCUCCCAAGUGCCCCGUCCCUAGUCUUCAGCUUGGUGUGCCCUGCCCACGGAGAAAGCCGGGGAGGGUGGAAGCGCGGCAUCCAUGACCUCUUCAAGCAGCGUGGUGUGCCGAGGAGCGGGCCCUGCUGGCUGGCUGAAGAAGGCACACGAAGGCAAUGGGGAGCAAGGACAGAAGAAAGAGGGGCAGAAGGAGGCAGAGAAGCAAGCAGCAAGGCGCCAGAGGAGACGUGAAAAGAAGCAGGAGGAGACCGGCUCUCCAGGAGCUUGGCAGAAGAAACGGGCAGGCUGUGCUCCCACCAGGCGGACGGCUUCAUUUCUCUCUCUCGGCCACUGAUCACUCUGGGUGGGGCUGAUGGCCCUGCAGCGUGGCAUCCCUCGUGCUGGACUUCACGUCUUUGCACCAAGGAGCCCUGAAAGGGGUGGGAGUGCGGCCUUCUCGGGCCGCCCUGAAUCUCUCUGCAUCACGGAGUCCCUUGCAAUUGGGUGGGAGGUGGCUUGCUCCUGCUGGACCUGAAGUAUGUGCGCUGAGCCGCCCCUGGAUGGGACUGGGGGUAUUGCUUUCUCGCGCCACUGUUUUAUGUAUGUGCGCUGAGCUGCCCCUGGGUAGGCUGGCCUGGGGGUGUUGCUUCCUCGCGCCGAGCCUUAGAGGUAUGUGCGCUGAGCCACCCCUCGUCGGGGCUGGGGGCGUUAGCUUUCUCACGCCGAGCUUGAUGCCAUGUGCGCUGAGCCUGCCCCUGGCUGGGCUCAGCUUGGGGGUGUUGCUUCCUCUCGCGCCGAGCCUUCGGGUAUGUGCGCUGAGCCGCCCCGGGCUGGGGCUGGGAGCGUUGCUUUGUGCUGCCAGGCCUUACGUCUCUGCACUGAGCCGCCCCAGUGAGGGCUGGGGGUGUUGCUUCCUCUCGCCACGAGCUUCACGUCUUUGCUCUGAGAAGCCCCUCAUUUGGCCCGGGGGUGGCUCUCUCCAAGCCUUGCUGCCUGACUUUGCCCUUCCCGCUCUGAGUGGUGUUGAGCUGGCCACUCCGCCCUGCCCACGGAGGAAGCUCGGGACGGGAGAAGUGUGGCCUCCCGGACCUCUUCAAGCAGCAGCCGCCGCCUCUGCUGGCUGAAGGCACACGCCUGACGCUUGGUGUGCUCAUGCUCCUUGGCUUGGGCUCCUGCAUGAGCAGCGCUGGUCCUCCAGAAGGCCUUCUCAAGAGGGAAACGAGUCAAGAGCUGCAGAAGCUGAUCUCUUGCCUUAGGAGGCAAGGGAGAGAAAGGGCCGAAGGAAGAAGUGUCGGAGGCUGGCGAAAGAGAAGCCGCAAGCAAGGAGCAACAAGAGGAGACCUGAACAGCGAAGAACGAGGCGGAGAAGACAGGCUCUCAAGCAGCUUCACAGAAGCAAGAUGGGGGAGAGUCCGCUUCGACCAGCUGGAGGGCCUCCUUGCUGGCCUUCUCUCUGUUCUGUCUCCCGGAGUAGAGGCUGAUUGACUUGGAGCCUGGCUGCUUCAUGAGGCUUAGGAUGUCCCUGCCCUGAGUAGCCUCUGGUUGGGGAGGGGCGUGGACAUAACAGGAUGGACUCGGUGUCCAUAUGCUCAGUGGCCCUUUCUUGAACUGGGCUGCGGCUUUCUCAUGCUGGACUUCAUGUCUCUGCACUGGGGAGCCAUAGAAAUAGGGAGAGUGUGGCUCUCAAAGGGGCCGUACAAGGAGCAGCCCCUCUUUCGGCUGAGGUGUGUCUUUCUCGUGCUGGACUUUAUGUCUUUGCACUGGGCAGCCCUACAACUGUGGGAAGUGUCUGUAUACUGGAGAAGCCCUGAUUUGUCUGCGGAGCGUGUUUCUCGUGCUGGACUUUAUGUCUUUGCACUGGGGAGCCAUAGAAAUAGGGAGAGUGUGGCCCUCAAAGGGGCCGUACAAGGAGCAGCCCCUCUUUCGGCUGAGGUGUGUCUUUCUCGUGCUGGACUUUAUGUCUUUGCACUGGGCAGCCCUACAACUGUGGGAAGUGUCUGUAUACUAGAGAAGCCCUGAUUGGUCUGGGGAGCAGCUUUCUCGUGCUGGACUUUAUGUCUUUGCAGUGGGGAGCCAUAAAAGUAGUGAGAGCGUGGUUCUCGUAGGGGCCGUACAAGGAGCAGCCCCCAUUUCAGCUGAGGUGUGUCCUUCUCGUGCAGGACUUCAGGUCUUUGCACUGGGGAGCCCUACAAUUGUGGGAGCGUGGCCUCUUUUUUUUCCCCUCAUUAUUUUUACAUUUCUUGCCCGCUCUUCUUCUGAGGAGCCCAAAGCGGUCUACCGCGUACUUGAUUUUUUCCUCACAACAACCCUGUGAAGUAGGUUAGGUUGAGAGAGAAGCGACUGGCCCAGAGUCACCCAGCUAGUAUCAUGGCUGGAUGGGGAUUUGGACUCGAGUCUCCCUGGUCCUAGUAAACUAGGGAACCCCUGAUUUGGCUGUGGUGCCGGUUUCACGUGCUGGACUUCACGUCUUUGCACUGGGGAGCCCCACAAUUGUAAGAGUAUGGCCAUCGUAGUGGCUGUAUACUGGGGAGCCCCGAUUUGGCUGAGGAGCGGCUUUCUCCUGCUGGACUUCACGUCCUGGCACUGGGGAGCCCCGAAAACGCUGAGAGCAUGGCCUUCCCAGGCGAGCCUGAGUGUCUGUAUGCUGCGUGGCUGCUCAUUUCUCUGCAGGGUGCCUGUCGUUCCUCGCUGCGUGACUUCGCCCUUCAUCUAUCUUGUGAGUGGUGAUGAGUUGGCAUCUCCCAAGUGCCCCGUCCCUAGUCUUCAGCUUGGUGUGCCCUGCCCACGGAGAAAGCCGGGGAGGGUGGAAGCGCGGCAUCCAUGACCUCUUCAAGCAGCGUGGUGUGCCGAGGAGCGGGCCCUGCUGGCUGGCUGAAGAAGGCACACGAAGGCAAUGGGGAGCAAGGACAGAAGAAAGAGGGGCAGAAGGAGGCAGAGAAGCAAGCAGCAAGGCGCCAGAGGAGACGUGAAAAGAAGCAGGAGGAGACCGGAUCUCCAGGAGCUUGGCAGAAGAAACGGGCAGGCUGUGCUCCCACCAGGCGGACGGCUUCAUUUCUCUCUCUCGGCCACUGAUCACUCUGGGUGGGGCUGAUGGCCCUGCAGCGUGGCAUCCCUCGUGCUGGACUUCAUGUCUUUGCACCAAGGAGCCCUGAAAGGGGUGGGAGUGCGGCCUUCUCGGGCCGCCCUGAAUCUCUCUGCAUCACGGAGUCCCUUGCAAUUGGGUGGGAGGUGGCUUGCUCCUGCUGGACCUGAAGUAUGUGCGCUGAGCCGCCCCUGGAUGGGACUGGGGGUAUUGCUUUCUCGCGCCACUGCUUUAUGUAUGUGCGCUGAGCUGCCCCUGGGUAGGCUGGCCUGGGGGUGUUGCUUCCUCGUGCCGAGCCUUAGAGGUAUGUGCGCUGAGCCACCCCUCGUCGGGGCUGGGGGCGUUAGCUUUCUCACGCCGAGCUUGAUGCCAUGUGCGCUGAGCCUGCCCCUGGCUGGGCUCAGCUUGGGGGUGUUGCUUCCUCGCGCCGAGCCUUCGGGUAUGUGCGCUGAGCCGCCCCGGGCUGGGGCUGGGAGCGUUGCUUUGUGCUGCCAGGCCUUACGUCUCUGCACUGAGCCGCCCCAGUGAGGGCUGGGGGUGUUGCUUCCUCUCGCCACGAGCUUCACGUCUUUGCUCUGAGAAGCCCCUCAUUUGGCCCGGGGGUGGCUCUCUCCAAGCCUUGCUGCCUGACUUUGCCCUUCCCGCUCUGAGUGGUGUUGAGCUGGCCACUCCGCCCUGCCCACGGAGGAAGCUCGGGACGGGAGAAGUGUGGCCUCCCGGACCUCUUCAAGCAGCAGCCGCCGCCUCUGCUGGCUGAAGGCACACGCCUGACGCUUGGUGUGCUCAUGCUCCUUGGCUUGGGCUCUUGCAUGAGCAGCGCUGGUCCUCCAGAAGGCCUUCUCAAGAGGGAAACGAGUCAAGAGCUGCAGAAGCUGAUCUCUUGCCUUAGGAGGCAAGGGAGAGAAGGGGCAGAAGAAAGAAGUGCCGCAGGCUGCGAAAGAGAAGCGGCAAGCAAGGAGCAACAGAAGGAGACCUGAACAGGGAAGAAGGAGGCGGAGAAGACUGGCUCUCAAGCAGCUUCACAGAAGCAAGACGGGGGAGAGUCUGCUUCGACCAGCUGGAGGGCCUCCUUGCUGGCUUUCUCUCUGCUCUGUCUCCCGGAGUAGAGGCUGAUUGACCUGGAGCCUGGCUGCUUCAUGAGGCUUAGGAUGUCCCUGCCCUGAGUAGCCUCUGGUUGGGGAGGGGCGUGGACAUAAUAACAGGAUGGACUCGGUGUCCAUACGCUCAGUGGCCCUUUCUUGAACUGGGCUGCGGCUUUCUCGUGCUGGACUUUAUGUCUUAGCGCUGGGGAGCCAUAGAAAUAGUGAGAGUGUGGCCCUCAUAGGAGCAGCCCCUAUUUCUGCUGAGGUGUGUCUUUCUUGUGCUGGACUUUAUGUCUUUGCACUGGGGAGUCCUACAACUGUGGGAAGUGUCUGUAUACUAGAGAAGCCCUGAUUGGGCUGGGGAGCGUGUUUCUCGUGCUGGACUUUAUGUCUCCGCACUAGGGAGCUAUAAAAGUAGUGAGAGCGUGGUUCUCAUAGGGGCCAUACAAGGAGCAGCCCCCAUUUCAGCUGAGGUGUGUCUUUCUUGUGCUGGACUUCACGUCUUGGCCCUGGGGAGCCCUACAAUUGUGGGAGCGUGGCCUCUUUUUUAUUCUUAUUAUUUUUACAUUUCUUGCCCGCUCUUCUUCCGAGGAGCCCAAAGCGGUGUACCGUAUACUUGAUUUUUUCCUCACAACAACCCUGUGAACUAGUUUAGGCUGAGAGAGAAGCGACUGGCCCAGAGUCACCCAGCUAGUUCUUUACGUCUUUGCACUGUCUUUCUUAGUGGCCAUAGAGUGGGCUUUGGGUAUCACUUUUCCUUUUUGGAAUUUAAAUUUUUUUUCUUUUUGUUUUACAUUUAAAUGUCUGGGGGAACUUCAAUCCUGGUUACCUGACUUUGCUCUUCUUUUUCUCAAUGGUGAUGAAGUGGUACCUUUGGCCUGGCGUGGUGUGGCUGCAGAAGUGCGGCAUUUGUGACCUCUUCAAGCCGCGUCGUAUACUGAGCACGCUCUGCUGGCUGAAAGCACACGAAGAGAACAGGAGAAAGACUGAAGGAACAACUGCGGAACAAGGAGAAAGAACAUCAGAAAGUCCCCACAGGAGCCCUGAAGACUAACUGGAGAAGUGGGAGAAAACCGGAUAACAAGAAGCAGGAGAGAAGAAACAGGCAGGCUCCCCUGACUGCCUCCUUCAUGACUGAGUAGCAAUUCUAUCACAUAGAAAUAUCCCCUCAUUGCUGUGAGCCUCUUUCAACCCAAGAUGGUGACUGUCUCCAAAGGACUUCAAUUUUUGAUGGCGUCUAAAUAUUGGCACAGCCCCGUGAAGCUGCUUAGCCUGUCAGCUGGUGGGGGUCUCGAAAGAGCGGCAUGCUUGAGGGGCAGUUUUCUGGCAGUUCAGUCUUCAUGCCUGACCCUGUGUCUCGGCUGCUUCCUGCUCUGAGAAAUCCCCAAGGUGCUUGGAGUGUGGUUUUCUUCAUUCCUGGCUUGAUAUCUCUGCUUCAGAUUGCUCAGAGCAGCCACUGAGAUGACUGGAGAGCCACUGGCCUUGGGUGUGUCCAGGGUUUUAUCCUAGAUGGCUUCUCUGCCCCCCAUUAUUUCUGUAUGCUGCUUGCAAUAUUGUUUAAAUACAAACUUAAAAUACGUUAAAAACUAAAACAAAAAUAGCUGUUGCAUAGGAUAACCUCUAAAAGGAUAGGAUCAAACCUAAAAAGAAUAAACAAGUGUAGUAUAAUAUAAGUAGGAUAACAUCUAAAAGAUUAGGAUAAAAUCUAAAAAGAUUAAACAAGUAUAGUAUAAUAUAAGAAAUACAGAUCUAUUAACUUAAUUAGGAAGGCUAAUAGGAAAUAAAAUGAAGCAUUUUCAAAGUAGAUUAGAUAUUCUAGACCAACUAGUGUAUUAAAAUAAUAUUCAAAGCAGCAUAUGGGAAUGGUGAGAAAAAGCACUUUGCUACUGAAAGUCUGAAAGGCCAGAACACAUCCACCAGUCCCUCAUGUAGCUCUUCCGUGGCUCCGGGUCUCUUCCUACUAAGAUCUUACAGACUAUUCCCCCUUUGAUGCAAAGAUGGGUGCUUGGGCGAUUUGAUGUAGAAAUAAAGAUCAAUAUUGUCUUUAUGUAGCUUUGUUUACUGACAGGCUUAUAGGAUGCUGAAGAUGGUAUUUCUGUCAAGCACCCAGAACUGAUUCUUAUUUCAAGUUGUUUUAAUCUGUGUGUUUUUUGUAAAUGGCCCAGAGACAUGAGUUUUGGGUGGUCCUAACCAAAUAUGCUAAAUAAAAAGCUGUCAGUAUUGUCUGCUAGAAUCAAA